ACGCUCGACACCUACGGGAGGGCAGCAGUGGGGAAUAUUGCACAAUGGGGGAAACCCUGAUGCAGCGACGCCGCGUGAAGGAAGAAGUAUCUCGGUAUGUAAACUUCUAUCAGCAGGGAAGAAAAUGACGGUACCUGACUAAGAAGCCCCGGCUAACUACGUGCCAGCAGCCGCGGUAAUCUGAGCGGGCUGGCAAGGC
RNAcentral lists this ribosomal RNA (199 nucleotides) under uncultured bacterium. RNAcentral's name for it is "partial 16S ribosomal RNA". It matches the Rfam family "Bacterial small subunit ribosomal RNA", at positions 328 to 539 of the family's 1533-position model. The record is from RNAcentral.